GAAACGACUCUCGACAAUGGAUAUCUCGGCUCUCGCAUCGAUGAAGAGCGCAGCGAAAUGCGAUACGUGGUGCGAAUAGCAGAAUCCCGCGAACCAUCGAGUCUUUGAACGCAAGUUGCGCCCGAGGCCAAACGGUCGAGGGCACGUCCGCCUGGCCGUCAACC
Molecule: ribosomal RNA, 164 nt
Filed under: Papilionanthe subulata
Lineage: Eukaryota; Viridiplantae; Streptophyta; Magnoliopsida; Asparagales; Orchidaceae
Description: 5.8S ribosomal RNA
Rfam family: 5.8S ribosomal RNA
About the family: 5.8S ribosomal RNA (5.8S rRNA) is a component of the large subunit of the eukaryotic ribosome. It is transcribed by RNA polymerase I as part of the 45S precursor that also contains 18S and 28S rRNA.
Source: RNAcentral